CCAUAAUAGGGCCCCAACUUGAGAGGAAGAGCCUAAAAUUGAGUAGUUUCUUUAAAUUGGUCAGAGCAUUUUUGAAAUUGAGAGCCCCUUACUGUACCUCCACAUGCAGUCUAGCUAAGGUCUAGUUGGGUCUAGCUUAAAAAUAAUGUCAUGGGGCCCCCAGGGAAGAUUUGUCCGAGGCCCUACAUAUUCUCUCGGUGGCCCUGUCCACACCGCAGGGUGAUCUUGCGACAUCAAAAUCCUCCCCGUCGGGCAAGCAAAGUUGUUCAAAUCUCUACCCCUUGCCUCCCCAGGCUUAACAUUGAAAGGUGCAUUAGUUGGUUAGAGUGCUACACUGGAAUUGCAGGGCCACAGGUUCGAUUCCUGGAAGAGGACCUAGUGUUCGCAACCGUUCC
Paramuricea clavata is the source of this 395-nucleotide non-coding RNA. NCBI's taxonomy places the organism in Eukaryota, Metazoa, Cnidaria, Anthozoa, Malacalcyonacea, Plexauridae. The record is from the annotation of a GenBank genome assembly.